CUUAUUUCCUACAACGAAAUGAAGAGAGUGAUCUUGGCGAUACUACUGCUCGUUUCCCUGGCGGCGUCCACGCAAGCGGCAUGCGGCGCGUACAACAGCCGAACACACAUUUGCUGCAAUGGAAGGCUCAGUUAUAAAGGUUCGAACAACGCAUGCUGCAAUACUUCUGCGUACAACAGCCGAACCCACAUUUGCUGCAAUGGAAGGCUCAGUUAUAAAGGCCUAAACAAUUCGUGUGGUUAAAUCUAUGCAUACAUCUAUGUUUGCGAUAUACAUGCAUGUUGCGAACAGUAAUCUACAUUGUUAUGUAUGGGUACAGGCGGAUUUCUCCAUAAACUGAACUGAUAUGAUUGAGUGCCACUUGUUCAUAUGCUUAUGAAAUGGUAAUGAAUUAUGUAUACUGCGAUGAGCAGAUCGAAUCUAUCUAUAUACUAUUGUAUGGUAAAUUCAUUGUGAUUUUCAAAUGACAAAAUUAUCGUAUCAUUUUGCGGGCAGUACUUUAAUUUGUUUUCUUUCGUUAGUAAGUAGAAUUGAUAAAAUUAAUAUCAUAUCAUAAUGAUGCUAAGAAAAUUAUAGCUACAAAAUGUGCACAUGUGUUUUUUUAAAAUAAUCUUACUAGCUUAAAUGCGGAGAUAUCAUUAAUUAGGGCAAAGAUCGCUAGAAUUUACGGGUAGAAUUAAUCGGUAUGCGUAAUAAUGUAUAAGUAACAUGUUUUUUAGUAAUUACAAAUAUGCGAAUAAAAUCCCGCACGUAAUUAAAUA
Priapulus caudatus is the source of this 761-nucleotide long non-coding RNA. RefSeq lists it as uncharacterized. The record is from RefSeq and is a predicted model, not a curated record. NCBI's taxonomy places the organism in Eukaryota, Metazoa, Priapulida, Priapulimorpha, Priapulimorphida, Priapulidae. The transcript has 2 exons.